UACGGGGGGGGCAAGCGUUGUUCGGAAUUACUGGGCGUAAAGGGCUCGUAGGUGGCCAACUAAGUCAGACGUGAAAUCCCUCGGCUUAACCGGGGAACUGCGUCUGAUACUGGAUGGCUUGAGUUUGGGAGAGGGACGCGGAAUUCCAGGUGUAGCGGUGAAAUGCGUAGAUAUCUGGAGGAACACCGGUGGCGAAGGCGGCGUCCUGGACCAACACUGACGCUGAGACGCGAAAGCUAGGGGAGCAAACGGG
Molecule: ribosomal RNA, 253 nt
Filed under: uncultured bacterium
Lineage: Bacteria
Description: partial 16S ribosomal RNA
Rfam family: Bacterial small subunit ribosomal RNA
Source: RNAcentral